CAUAACGACUCUCGGCAACGGAUAUCUCGGCUCUCGCAUCGAUGGWGAACGCAGCGAAAUGCGAUACUUGGUGUGAAUUGCAGAUCCCGUGAACCAUCGAGUCUUUGAACGCAAGUUGCGCCCGAAGCCAUCCGGUCGAGGGCACGUCUGCCUGGGCGUCACACACC
This 167-nucleotide ribosomal RNA is filed under the name Maclura cochinchinensis. Its description in RNAcentral is "5.8S ribosomal RNA". It matches the Rfam family "5.8S ribosomal RNA". Rfam says of the family: 5.8S ribosomal RNA (5.8S rRNA) is a component of the large subunit of the eukaryotic ribosome. It is transcribed by RNA polymerase I as part of the 45S precursor that also contains 18S and 28S rRNA. The record is from RNAcentral. Lineage: Eukaryota; Viridiplantae; Streptophyta; Magnoliopsida; Rosales; Moraceae.